GACGAACGCUGGCGGCGUGCCUAAUACAUGCAAGUCGAGCGCGGGAAGCAGACAGAAGCCUUCGGGCGGAUGUUUGUGGAACGAGCGGCGGAUGGGUGAGUAACACGUGGGUAACCUGCCUGUAAGCUCGGGAUAACUAACGGAAACGUUAGCUAAUACCGGAUGAAGCUGCAUACCGCAUGGUAUGUAGAUGAAAGACGGCAUUUGCUGU
RNAcentral lists this ribosomal RNA (211 nucleotides) under uncultured bacterium. RNAcentral's name for it is "partial 16S rRNA". It matches the Rfam family "Bacterial small subunit ribosomal RNA", at positions 28 to 221 of the family's 1533-position model. The record is from RNAcentral.